GAGUUUGAUCAUGGCUCAGAUUGAACGCUGGCGGCAGGCCUAACACAUGCAAGUCGGGCGGUAGAGAGAAGCUUGCUUCUCUUGAGAGCGGCGGACGGGUGAGUAAUGCCUAGGAAUCUGCCUGGUAGUGGGGGAUAACGCUCGGAAACGGACGCUAAUACCGCAUACGUCCUACGGGAGAAAGCAGGGGACCUUCGGGCCUUGCGCUAUCAGAUGAGCCUAGGUCGGAUUAGCUAGUUGGUGAGGUAAUGGCUCACCAAGGCGACGAUCCGUAACUGGUCUGAGAGGAUGAUCAGUCACACUGGAACUGAGACACGGUCCAGACUCCUACAGGAGGCAGCAGUGGGGAAUAUUGGACAAUGGGCGAAAGCCUGAUCCAGCCAUGCCGCGUGUGUGAAGAAGGUCUUCGGAUUGUAAAGCACUUUAAGUUGGAGAGGGCAGUAAAUUAAUACUUUGCUGUUUGACGUUACGACAGAAUAAGCACCGGCUAACUCUGUGCCAACA
Molecule: ribosomal RNA, 504 nt
Filed under: uncultured bacterium
Lineage: Bacteria
Description: bacterial SSU rRNA
Rfam family: Bacterial small subunit ribosomal RNA
Source: RNAcentral